CCUACGGGAGGCCGCAGUGGGGUAUAUUGCACAAUGGGCGAGAGCCUGAUGCAGCAAAGCCGCGUGAGCGAUGAAGGCCUUCGGGUCGUAAAGCUCUGUCCUCAAGGAAGAUCAUGACGGUACUUGAGGAGGAAGCCCCGGCUAACUACGUGCCAGCAGCCGCGGUAAUACGUAGGGGGCUAGCGUUAUCCGGAAUUACUGGGCGUAAGGGGUGCGUAGGUGGUUUCUUCAGUCAGAGGUGAAAGGCUACGGCUCAACCGUAGUAAGCCUUUGAAACUGGGGAACUUGAGUGCAGGAGAGGAGAGCGGAAUUCCUAGUGUAGCGGUGAAAUGCGUAGAUAUUAGGAGGAACACCAGUUGCGAAGGCGGCUCUCUGGACUGUAACUGACACUGAGGCACGAAAGCGUGGGGAGCAAACAGGAUUAGAUACCCUGGUAGUC
Molecule: ribosomal RNA, 439 nt
Filed under: uncultured bacterium
Lineage: Bacteria
Description: partial 16S ribosomal RNA
Rfam family: Bacterial small subunit ribosomal RNA
Source: RNAcentral